Triticum urartu is the source of this 2027-nucleotide long non-coding RNA. RefSeq lists it as uncharacterized. The record is from RefSeq and is a predicted model, not a curated record. Lineage: Eukaryota; Viridiplantae; Streptophyta; Magnoliopsida; Poales; Poaceae.
CCUCCGACGCACCUGGUCUCGGUGUGGUUGUCGCACCACUCCUUUUCCCGGCCAAUGUAUUUCAUUUUCCAUUUUUAUUUAUGUUGCUUACGGUUUUUUUGUGGACCAAACCCACUCCCCGCAGUUUCUGGACCUAUUCUAACUGCAAACGGGGCAAGCGAUGGGAGGUUUCGGCGGCGAGCGGUAGCUGCGUGCGGCGUUGGUGCGGCCCCGUUUUCCGGCGGCGGGGUCGAGGCGGGUAGUGCUGAGGGAGGCUUCGUGGCUGGUGGUGGCCUCCUCGGCCGGCCGCCCCGCGGGAGGCUUCGCGGCAUGGUGGUUAGCCUGCACCUUGCGGGUAACCUCGACGACGUUGAUCACUAUGGAUAGCUCGACAAGUUCACCGAGCAGGCAUUUUUACCUCCGCCAUGUUGUGUUUCUCUCUCGUCUUGAACGACGGAGGCAGCGGUUCAACCGCUCGGUGAUCUCGGUGUGCAUAGAGGAGGGCUGUGUGUCGCGGCGGCAGCCAACAGGAGAUGCAGCGGCUCGACCUCCUCUGUGACCUCAUCUCCAGUUGAAAUUGACAAGGCUGCCUCCCUGAACUCGCGCCGGCUGGAAUCAAUUGCGGCCUAGGUAACUCAGCGCCACUAGAGCUUCAGGUGCCUCACAAGUCACAAGAAAUCAAAAGUUCUAUCAUCAAAUUUUAGUCGACGAGGUAAAUCCUGCUAGCCACGUGUGUCAUGGCGGCGGCGGCGGCUCGCCGCCACCAUUCCCAUUUCAUCUUCGCUCUGCAAGGUAAUAGAAGGAGGGCUCUAAUGGGAAUGAUGCUUGCCACCCCCACCUUCAUGACUGCUCCAGAUCCAUUCAAGGUGGUCAUCACUGUUAAAUCGUCCAGCGAGCUCAGUACCGUCCUACUCUCCCUAAAAUGCACAGUUGCAGAAACAACAUCUAUUGUGCACCAAAAAGGAUAAUUUCCCAUGUGUAAAAUGAGAUUUAUAUAUCAAAAGUUUUUGUCUGUUGAUAUUUUGGCGGUUCUCUUCCCUUCUGCACUGCUGCUGGAAGUGAUGAGAGAAUUUGUGCAUACAGUUGUGGUCAUUAGUAAAUAUAUCAUUCGAGUUGAAAGGUUGGAGCGUAUGCAUUAACAUUUUCAAGUGGAUACUUUGGUACUUGAUUUUAUAAUCAUUUGAAAUCCGAAUAUCACGUUGCAUUGUGAUAUUUCUAACUGAAAAUUUUCACUAUUAGUUAUGCAUAUUUUGGUGGAAUUUCUAACACUGUUGUUCUUUCAAGCAUAUAAUGUUCUUUAGAAAUUUAAUAGUUCAUACUGGAAUCCUUUUGAAUGUAUAGUUUUAUUAUGUUUUCAAAAUUUUAAGCAGAUAAUGGAUGAACAUGUUUUUUUUGCAUCACCAUGCUUUGUAUCUAGUUUUACAACAUCACCAUGUAUAGUCUGUGUUUGUGUUUGUUCUAGAUUGUCUGCUGCACACCCAGGUGAUUGCGUCUCGUAUAUCUCUUAUGAAAUAGAAAGUCUCUGAUCACCAAAUCCGUAUAGGUCAUAGUGAGACAUUUCUCAGAAAUACUACUCCGGUAUGCGGCACAGUUUGGUAGUUCUAUGUACACUGACUCACUGACCCGUAGGGUUUUCUUUAUUUUGUAGUACUACAUGUGUGCAAGAAUAAAUAAAAUGUGGUCGUCUCCGUAGACUUUUGAGCUGUUCCAAUUUGUAUUAGAUCUGCAAUAUUUAUGUAAGUUCAGUUUUUGUUAUUUUUUUAAUUUAGGUUGGGAGAGUAUUAAUAUUGAUAGUAGUUGUGGUUCUGGUUGGAGUAAUUUAUCAUACCACCUCACCUAAGGAUAUUUGUGUCUAGCUCAAUCAAGUGUCAUAUCAUUUCUUUCAGGCUUACAAGCUCAGCGGUUCGUAGAAAUCUGCAGUUUUUAGUUAAGUGGUUAGUGUUUAGAUAUUCUUGUGAUAGAUCAUCAAGACAUUCUGGCUUUUCUUGAUUAAAUGUUCUGUUUUCUGUAAUCGAAGAUUCACAAUGGAUGAUUGAGAAUGAUAAAGC